This 21-nucleotide microRNA is filed under the name Mus musculus (house mouse). RNAcentral's name for it is "mmu-miR-3552". Lineage: Eukaryota; Metazoa; Chordata; Mammalia; Rodentia; Muridae. The record is from miRBase by way of RNAcentral. RNAcentral also lists the same sequence under 1 other name.
AGGCUGCAGGCCCACUUCCCU